GGUGCUGUGGCUUAGUUGGCUAAAGUGCCUGUCUAGUAAACAGGAGAUCCUGGAUUCAAAUCCUUUGUGGUUCCU
This is a non-coding RNA of Megalops atlanticus (tarpon), 75 nucleotides long. NCBI's taxonomy places the organism in Eukaryota, Metazoa, Chordata, Actinopteri, Elopiformes, Megalopidae. The record is from the annotation of a GenBank genome assembly.